UACGUAGGUGGCAAGCGUUGUCCGGAUUUACUGGGCGUAAAGAGCUCGUAGGCGGUUCGAUAAGUCGGACGUGAAAUCUCCACGCUCAACGUGGAGGGGCCGUUCGAUACUGUCGUGACUCGAGUCCGGUAGGGGAGUGUGGAAUUCCCGGUGUAGCGGUGAAAUGCGCAGAUAUCAGGAGGAACACCGGUGGCGAAGGCGGUUCUCUGGGCCUGUACUGACGCUGAGGAACGAAAGCGUGGGGAGCGAACAGG
RNAcentral lists this ribosomal RNA (254 nucleotides) under uncultured bacterium. RNAcentral describes it as "partial 16S ribosomal RNA". It matches the Rfam family "Bacterial small subunit ribosomal RNA", at positions 524 to 776 of the family's 1533-position model. The record is from RNAcentral.